GACCAAGGAGUCUAACACGUGCGCGAGUCGCAGGGUCGUACGAAACCCGAGGGCGUAACGAAAGUGAACGAGAUCUUCGGAUCUAUCGGGUGGGAUCUCGAAGCCUUUUCAACGGGGCGACGGGCGCACCACCGGCCUGUCUCGGCCGCAGCGUCGGCGAGGCGGAGCAAGAGCGUACGCGUUGGGACCCGAAAGAUGGUGAACUAUGCCUGAGCAGGAUGAAGCCAGAAGAAAUUCUGGUGGAGGUCCGCAGCGAUUCUGACGUGCAAAUCGAUCGUCAAA
Molecule: ribosomal RNA, 282 nt
Filed under: Asiaticobdella fenestrata
Lineage: Eukaryota; Metazoa; Annelida; Clitellata; Hirudinida; Hirudinidae
Description: partial 28S ribosomal RNA
Rfam family: Eukaryotic large subunit ribosomal RNA
Source: RNAcentral